Molecule: ribosomal RNA, 467 nt
Filed under: uncultured bacterium
Lineage: Bacteria
Description: bacterial SSU rRNA
Rfam family: Bacterial small subunit ribosomal RNA
Source: RNAcentral
AUCAACGCUGGCGGCGUGCCUCAGACAUGCAAGUCGAACGAUUAAGACUUCCUUCGGGAAGUGUAUAAAGUGGCGCACGGGUGAGUAACACGUAAGUAAUCUACCUUCGAGUGGGGAAUAACGUUCGGAAACGAACGCUAAUACCGCAUAAUGCAGCGGCAUCGCAAGAUGACAGUUGUUAAAGGAAUUUAUUUCGCUUGAAGAGGAGCUUGCGGCAGAUUAGCUAGUUGGUAAGGUAACGGCUUACCAAGGCUACGAUCUGUAUCCGGUCUAAGAGGACGGUCGGACACACUGACACUGAAUAACGGGUCAGACUCCUACGGGAGGCAGCAGUCGGGAAUUUUGGGCAAUGGGCGAAAGCCUGACCCAGCAACGCCGCGUGAAGGAUGAAGUAUUUCGGUAUGUAAACUUCGAAAGAAUGGGAAGAAUAAAUGACGGUACCAUUUAUAAGCUCCGGCUAACUACGU